GAGCUGCUUCCUGUUAGCCGACUGCAUCCAUGAGAGGGAGGAGCUAGAGAUAUACCGGAAGUGUGACGUCUCAAACUCUGAUUGGCUGAGUCUCUCUUCCCUAAGCAUACACACCUUGUUUUUGACCGCUGUAUGGGCCGGACACAGGAAGGAUCUGUCCGAGGUCAGGAGAUGCAGCAGGAAGUCCUGGAGGACCAGGUGGCCCAGGUUGUCCUGGUUGCCCUUGAAGUCCAGCAGGGCCACUAAGACCAGGGUUACCUUGAGGACCAAUAUGACCAGGUUGUCCUGGCUUUCCCUCCCCAGGAUAUCCAGAUUUACCAGGUCCUCGCUCCCUCUGGUCUGCUCCUCCUCCGCCUGGUUUCUCCUCUACCUUACGCUGCCUCUCUGGGUCGUUUCCAGGGCAUGAGUGGGACGGUGGCCAUGCACAGGAUUCAGCCAGGUGUUAGCUGCAGUCCUGCUGGGCCCUGAGUGAGUUUGAAUGACUAAAAGUGACGAUGUAUGGAUCCAGCACCAUGGACAGAGCCUCCAGACUGUCACUGACCUCUGAUCUGUCUCCCUGCUCAUCACAGAAGCUUCAUAGACUUCUCAUCUCUGUCGUAAACUGGACUCUGAUGAGGACUCUUCAGACGCCUCCUCCGCCUUCGUUUGAUGACAGAGACUCUCCAGCCCCCCUCUGAAUCGAUGCUGGUUCCUCUGAAACUGUUUGCCAAAAUGUACAGCCAUGCUGGCCCCGCUUGGUCCGGAGCCACGAGCCUUUUAUCACCUCCAUCUUGAAAAUAAUCAAAUUUCCAUCUCUCCUCAGUGUUCCUCUCCUGACUGGUUCCAGAUGGGGACUCUACCGCUCCAUCAACAAACCAUGGGGAACAGAGGCAUGUCAUUGCUUACAGAUCCGGGUGCCCGUCUUAAUUGCUUGUGGUUACAGCUCCGGCCUACGCUGUCCUGAGUGCUUCAUACCUGUGGGUCGGUGUGCUCACGCUCAAGUCUGUCUUUCAGGUGAUCUACCCCGGCUCAAUCCUCAAGCAGCGUUUACUGUUCUUCCCCAGAGUUCAAUUAUCCUGACGGGAGGGAGAGCACACCGCAUGUUUCCUGUAGAAACCCGAAAAUGGAACAAAAAGUGCACGUUUGCUCCACCUCAUCCGGUUCCUUCAACAUUCCUUCACACCUACUCGAUCUCUUUGCAGAGCGAGGGCCGGAGUCGCCUCCUGAGAUGUCUUCAGCCUCACACUGAUCCUGCGGGGGAUUGAGACGCUUGUUUUAAGAGCUCUGCACGGUAGCAGCAGAAAUGCUGCUGCAGGGACACAUGGCCUGGCAUCACAGCGUCUGCAGCUGCAGGAUCAAGACACACAUUCCCUCUGAGCUGCAUAAACACUUCCUGUUCAGUAGGAUAAAACAACACUGCAGAGAGUCUGACAGCUUCACCCUGGACAUGUCUCACUGUGGGAGAAAUCCAUGUCAGGUGUGAAGCAGGGGUGUUUCCUGGCUGAAAGUCUCACACAGCUUUGAGGAGUUCGGGACGGACGCUGAACAGCAGCCCUGGUGAGGGUUUGGCUUUUAUCUGCAGACCUCUUCUGACAACGGCAGCAUUGAUGUGUUCCCUACAUUUCCCACAAUGCAGCAUGGCUCACCCCCUUAACGUGGUGGAGGGGUGUGAGAGCCAGGAUGAUCCUUGGAGGGGUUGGACCCUCUUCCUUGCUGGAGUUGCGCCAGAUGAGAGGCGGAGGACAGAUGUGGGCUUCCUCGUAGCUCCUCACCUCUCUGCCUGUGUGUUGGAGACGGGUCCUGACUGUUGUUUGUGCUUCAUUAAGAGAACCCACACAGUGUAUACACCAAUCUCAUAACCUCUCUGUCAAUAGAGCUUUUGUUCACAAGAGCUGAGAAAUCACAUGAUGAAAAAUGUAAAAUAUGAUCCUCAAACAUUUGUUUUUUCAGUUUCUCUGCAGUCUGUCAGUCGUCAAAUACACCCUCGACUCCCACACACGGCCUGGCUGCAGCCUGACACACACGCACACACACACACCUGAACACACCUGCCUGCCAAAAAAACCUUUAUAAGUAAUUGUCACUGGGUGAGACGGUAAGUAGAUUUAAAGGAGUGUGAAAACACGCCAUUCUUCAUGUAACUGACUCAGUUUAAUCCUCUCUCUGGAUGUGAUGUUCUCAAUUCUGAUCUCCUUCAAGUUCCACUCAUGAAGUCAUGACAGCAGUGUUUAAUCCAUGAAGAAUGCAGGUUACAGUUACAUAGUGAGUCAUAGCUCAGGAUUCUGGGUUGGCUUAUCAGAUUUCAAAGGAGGGGGCAGUGCCACCCCUGGCCGCCCCUCUGGACACCCCCUUGUAAUCCACUGUCCUCUGAGAGUCUGAGUGUUCAGAUACAUCUCUGAAACUCUUUCCAUGGCACAUGCACAGAUUUAAACUACUCCCCCCCUCUCUGCCGCCGCCUCUGAGAACACUUCAUCGUCCUUGGACGUGAAGGUCACCUCUGUCUGUCAGGAUUACUGCACAUAUACGAGAGAACACCGCAGCUUUGGGAGAGCCUCCCUCUCCAAUGUUUUAUUUAUUUGGCUGCAGGUUCGAGCCAAACGCUUCGGUUAGCAUUUCAUUCCUCCGCUGCCCUUGGAACGGGCGCCAGAUUUGUGGGGACGACUGGAAAACCCCCGGUGUUUGAUGGUGGGAAGCAAAUUAAUCAAUAUAAGGUGCUUGCUCACAGCUUUAAAAAGCCGCUGAGUCAUUGUCUGUUCAUCUGGGGGUGCAGUCUGGCCAAAGUCUGGGCCCACAUAGUGAACAUAGAAGAUAAAGAUGGAGGACUUGUGGGAUCUAUUACUCGUUCAGGUUCAGACAGACAUGUUAGGGGCCCUCGUUGAUUUUUAAUGGGAGUGAUGUCUCGCUCUAUGUGUCCACUGAUUGGCUGCACACAUGCUGCGACCUCACGGAGCAGACUGGAGGUCUCUCUGAAGUAUGUUCAAGCAGAAGAUGAUUCACCAUAGUCGCACUGCAGCCAGCUUUGACAUCAGACUGGGAGGUUCAGAGGUUGUUGUUUUGUCGUUAUAGCUUCCACAGUAUUACUCUUUGCUUAGACGAGCAUGUUUCAGUGUCUAUAGCCGGCUCAGGGAACAGAGACGUGAAGUGGUAACCUGCAGAUAGCAGAUAAAGUCUGAAACGACACACAGUCAGUCUACAUGCUGUGAAACACACUCAGCUGAAUGACUUUAUUUUUUGAGUGCUGCUGUAAACAGAUUCCAUGUAACUGAGACUCUCAGACAAUUUGUGACUGUUUGGAUUUGGCGUCAGUAAACUUGGACAAACCUCCAUCGUCGGUUCUCAGGCAGCGAAUUCUUUCUCAGUCAACACAGUCUGUGUGUAAUGUCUCUGCAUGUGACCCGAUCGAGCCAACACAAACUUUCUCUCCUGGCAAACGAAGAGAGAACGUGCUCGGUUCGUCAAAGCUGGACAAACAGGGUCCAGAGACGAGCUUCUGAGGAGGCCGAGACCCGCUGCGAAGACCAACAGUAGUCUCUGGCGUUUCCUUUUCUGUCCUGGCUGCGGUCUUAUUAUUCCGUCUCUGUUUGGACUCAGUCUUUCUCACAGUAUCAUCUGUAGUCCCCGUCUUUGAAAGUUACACCGCCAGACAUCAAGCCUAUAUGCGGCAGGUUCAGAUUAAUACAUCAACACUGUGGUAUGACCUUUUCAUUCUGUCAUUCAUUCAGAAGAAUUGUAUUGCUCACUUUCAGAGAAGACCCUGGAGAGACUGGUCCUUGGUCACCUGAGACCUCAGAGAGCCCUCUCUCACCUGGACACGGCUGGGGCCACUAUGAGGAUCAUGUUUUUUGAUUUCUCCAGUGCCUUCAACACCAUUCAGCCGUUGCUUCUGAGGGAAAAGUUGGAGCCCCAAAAAAAUCCAGUCGGACCCAAAGCAAGUCGGACUUUGAGGCUAGUCAGAGUGUAAGGCUAAGUCUAACCAGCUGGAUCGAUUUGAAUUCAUAUUCUUUGGACUGGAAGGCUCGUCUCAUCGUCCUCUGUUCUUGCAGACAGCCCACUGAGUUGGUAAUCUACAUUACACCAGAACCCUUUAAAGAAACUGUUCAUUAUGAAGACUGUAGAGCUCACAGGAAGAGGACAACUGUGGUUAACAAUAAACUAAUCAAAACAAA
Molecule: long non-coding RNA, 4145 nt
Organism: Notolabrus celidotus (New Zealand spotty)
Lineage: Eukaryota; Metazoa; Chordata; Actinopteri; Labriformes; Labridae
Exons: 13
Source: RefSeq, a predicted model, not a curated record